CACAAACCCAUCAGAAGGAGGAAACUCCAGACACAUCUGAACAUCUGAAGGAACAAACUCCAGACACACCAUCUUUAAGAACUUAAUACUCACCAUGAGGGUCCGCAGCUUCCUUCUUGAAGUCAGCAAGACCAAGAACCCACAGGAAGGAACCAAUUCCAGACACAUUUUGGCGACCAUGAAGGGACUAUCGCCUAUUGCCAAGUGAUGGGAAACACUCAGGCAUCAACAGGCUCACCCUUGAAAUGCAUCCUAAGUCAUCGGGACCAAUUUGACCUACAAACCCUGAAAAAGAGGCAGCUCAUUUUUUUCUGCGCUAUGGCCUGGCCCUGAUAUUUUCUCUCUGAUGGGGAAAAAUGGCCACCUGAGGGAAAUAUAAAUUACAGUACUGUCCUGCAGCUUGACCUUUUCUGUAAGAGGGAAGGCAAAUAGAGUGAAAUACUUUA
This is a long non-coding RNA of Chlorocebus sabaeus (green monkey), 446 nucleotides long. RefSeq lists it as uncharacterized. The record is from RefSeq and is a predicted model, not a curated record. NCBI's taxonomy places the organism in Eukaryota, Metazoa, Chordata, Mammalia, Primates, Cercopithecidae.